AACGAACGCUGGCGGCAGGCCUAAAACAUGCAAGUCGAACGCCCCGCAAGGGGAGUGGCGCACGGGUGAGUAACGCGUGGGAACGUGCCCUUCACUACGGGACAACGUCGGGAAACUGACGCUAAUACCGUAUAAUGACUCCGGUCCAAAGAUUUAUCGGUGAAGGAGCGGCCCGCGUCUGAUUAGCUAGUUGGUGAGGUAAAGGCUUACCAAGGCUACGAUCAGUAGCAGGUCUGAGAGGAUGAUCUGCCACACUGGGACUGAGACACGGCCCAGACUCCUACGGGAGGCAGCAGUUAGGAAUAUUGGACAAUGGGCGAAAGCCUGAUCCAGCCAUGCCGCGUGUGUGAUGAAGGCCCUAGGGUUGUAAAGCACUUUCGUUGGGGAUGAUAAUGACCGUACCCAAAGAAGAAGCACCGGCUAACUUCGUGCCAGCAGCCGCGGUAA
Molecule: ribosomal RNA, 447 nt
Filed under: uncultured bacterium
Lineage: Bacteria
Description: partial 16S ribosomal RNA
Rfam family: Bacterial small subunit ribosomal RNA
Source: RNAcentral